UUUUUUUUUUUUUUUGCUAUAGAAGAAUGGUCUAAGUGAUGGCAGAUACAAUCAAGUGUACAGGUCUUUAUAUAAGUUCAGUAGUACAUGUUCGGAAAUACCAGUUGAACAGUUAUUUUUCAAAUGUUCUCAACUGCUGUGUGGUGGUUCUGUUCUAAAUCAUUCAGUAUUUUUCUUUUUCAUUUAUUUUUUUGUGUCUUUGUGGUUCUUAUGGGAAUGAUGAACUCCGAAGUGAAUUAAAUGAAGUCUGAAGUGUAUUAAAUGAUAUGUUGUCAUUUCUGAAGUUGAAAAUUUCAAUGUGAUAUGCAUAUUUUAAUGUAAUAUUCCUAAUAAUUUUAAUAACAGAGACAAUGUAAAACUCUUUCCCUUAAAACACAUACUGUAGUACUGUUACUACUUAAGAUUCAUUUACAGUUACCUAAUAUUGCUGACCUUUGUGUUUUUGGGUACAUUUAAUAGGAGGGUUGCUCAGACCAUUUUUCCUGGACAUUGGACAGAGUUAUCCUGUAAAGAUCUUCCAGGCAUUCCAAUGCAGCGAUUCUCCAUUAACUGUUGUCUGCUCAUAGUCUCCUUCAAGGCACAAAAAGUUGAAGGUUUGGGCAGUCGUGCCGUAUUUGUUAGAGAGUCAGACUUAUAACCCAAGGAUCACAGGUUUGAGUCUCGGUAGCUGCAGGGAUAGUAGGUGGAGGGAGUGAAUGUACAGUGCUCUCUUCCACCUUCAGUACCACGACUGAGGUGAGACCCUUGAGCACUGAACCCUCAACUGCUCCCCGGGCACUGCAGCAAAAAAAAAAAAAAAAAAAAAAACCCUGCCCACUGCUCCGGGUGUGUGUUCACUACACACUGCUUUAUGUGUGAGCGCUUGGAUGGGUUAAGUGCAAAGCACAAAUUCCGAGUAUGGAUCUCCAUACUUGGCCACACGUUACGUCUUUGGCUUUCUUUUCCUUAAAGACAUAUUAAAAUACAUUAGCAUAGUAGGCCUAACUAUUCGGCUACAGCUCUGCACAGUUCAGAAAUUAGGCUGUGUGUUUUUUUCCUAAUAAGAAUAUUUAUUGUUGCCAGCCACUUUAACAUUGUAAAUAUACAGUUUGACCAUUAACACUGCACUGUGCUUACAAACAGGUAAAUAAACUUAAAUAAAGAUUACAGGUUUUGUUGUAAUUUCUCAUUUAAAAUGGUUAUGUCAUCUAUCAUUUUAUGGCCUGGUUUCACAGACAGGGCUUAGACUAAACCAGGAUUAGGCCAUACUUCUGUUAGGACAUUUAAGUAAUUUUUAUAAUGUGCCUUAGAGGAAAAAAAAAAAAAAAAACAUUAC
Molecule: long non-coding RNA, 1315 nt
Organism: Labeo rohita (rohu)
Lineage: Eukaryota; Metazoa; Chordata; Actinopteri; Cypriniformes; Cyprinidae
Exons: 3
Source: RefSeq, a predicted model, not a curated record